UUUGUUUCGUGUGUCGUAUUAUUUCUCAAAACGCGAUCGUGAUAUCUACUGGCAAAUGCCACUCGUAUUAAAAUGAAAAAUAAAACGUAUCAUUAGUAAACGUAAAAAGCGGGCUUAGCUACACUAUUUAUUAACAGCAGAGAAUUUGGUCGAAUUUUUUUAAACCGCGCCGCAUUAGGCGGAUACUUAAUUAUUUUUUAUUUUUGUAUUCUUCGUCGUAAUAAUGUAAAACAAAAUUAACGUCGUAAUAUCGGGAGUGCUAUAUAAAGUGCCGUAUGAUGGUAUUUUAAUAUGGUGGAUGAUCAUAUUUUAAUAAGUAACGCGAUCGUAAUUAAUUAAAAUUUUCGCGAGUGAGAGUUAUAGUGCGACGAGGAGCAGCAAAGAAAAAUGAAUAAAAGAGGAGAAAGAAGAGGCAAUAACGGAGUUAAUCGUAAAAAAAUACGAGGGAAAAUCUUGAGCGAAACCAAAUAUAUCUCGCAAUCAAGACAAUGAGAUACAGGACGGAUAGAAAGAUUGAAAGCACGAGUUGCAAUGGAGAU
Nylanderia fulva is the source of this 539-nucleotide non-coding RNA. The record is from RefSeq and is a predicted model, not a curated record. Lineage: Eukaryota; Metazoa; Arthropoda; Insecta; Hymenoptera; Formicidae.